This is a long non-coding RNA of Aethalodelphis obliquidens (Pacific white-sided dolphin), 4787 nucleotides long. RefSeq lists it as uncharacterized. The record is from RefSeq and is a predicted model, not a curated record. The transcript is spliced from 2 exons. Lineage: Eukaryota; Metazoa; Chordata; Mammalia; Artiodactyla; Delphinidae.
CUUGGCUGGGAACCAGAACACCUUCUCUUUUGUGACUUCCUGUCGACCAAAGGGCCAGAGGGAGGUACCCUGCCCUUCUAGUGACAGGACGGGCUGCAGUCCCAUCACUGAGGACAUGCACCCAGGGAGGGGACAAAACCGGGGCUUCUUUUGCCAACAGUCUCCCACGGGGAAAGAAAACAAGGAUUUCAGAAGGUAGCAGAAGGGGACCUCUCUUUCUCGGUAGGCUCUCUUUUCCUUUCUCCUGUGCACGGGGCGCGAAUGGACCAUUUCCUCCGGCGGUACUCCGGGUGUUCUGAGUCGUUCAGACUUUGCUGUGCUUCUUUCCGUGUUUUCCACACGUGGAGGAGCCUUUGGUCAGCCCAGCACGGAUCCCCUGAGCCAAGGGACCCACCAGAGUGGGAUUCAGGUCCCGCUGGAGCAGAGAUUCACUCUCCCCUCCCAGGCAUGGAGGCAGCAGAGGGUCGGGCUGGGUCUCUCAAGUGAAGGGAGAGCUGCACACCCCCGUCCGUGUCCUGGCCUUGAUCUUUCCAGAAAGCAGCCGGGAAAGGUCCGACUGCUUUUUUUUUUUUUUAGAAAAGGUGUCAACAGUUUCUUUGCUUUGGAAAUGCCUACGCUCCAGAGUCCUUAGUAAACAGUCAGGAGGGGAUGGUGGCAUAUUCAUACCGCGGCCCCCAGCCCUCCAGGGAAGGGGCGGAGGACGCUCUGCUGUUACUGAAAGCAGAGCCUCUCGCCGACAGCGCGUGGCCUCCCUCAGGUCCCAGCGGGAAAGGCGGCCCCGGCCCCGAAGGUAACUCCGCGGGGAGGGCGGAGCCCGCUGGGGGAGGCCUGCCCACCGCGCCAGCCCCGGGUCCCCGCGGGGAGACGUCGGCCUCAGGCCCAGAAGGUACCGUUCCCGCAUGGCCCGGGGGAUUCUUGGACAACUGGGCCCGGAAGGGUGCGGCCUCAGAUGCAGAGCCGCUGUCAGCCAGAGCGAGCGGCGGACUGGAGCGCAGCGCGGGACCAGGGCUCGCCGGCCGCUGGGCGGACUGGCCGCGCUCUCCGCGGUCGGUUCCCGGAGGUGAUUCCUCUGCCGCAGGCGCGCUCAUCUGUCAGCGCCCGUGCAGCAGGGCCCGGGGCCUGGCACCGCUGGAGGACUCCUGCCGGGAUUCCGCGCGUUCCGAGGCGCGUCCGCCUGCCGAGCAGCGCCGCAAGGACGGCCCCGCGUGGGGGCCCGCCCGGCGUCACUUCUGCGGCCGGCCGUCAGGUGGCAGUGGCCGCUCGGGAAGCAGGCGGCGCGAGGCGCUUCCUCUCCGCGCACCUGCGCGCAGGUGCGUCCCCGCCGCCCGCGCCGGCGCACCUGGCCGCCUCGGGACCGCGGGGGCCGCCCCCCGCAGGAUGCCUCCCCGUUCAGCAACCCUCGCUCCGGGUCUGGAUUUCUCCUCUUAAACAGGUCAAGCCCGUCUCGAGUUCACGGAGGAAACAGGUAUGAGCGCAUGGUGUUCCAUAGAGCAGAAAUGCCUAGUGUGGACUCCCUGAUGAACCGGAAGAGCAGAGGCGUGCUCUGCUCUCAAGGAAUGUCCUGGUCGGCUACCGAGAGCCCCGCCCUGCGCAAGAAGGCAUGUGCACAGGCAGAGACGUAAGGAAGGACGGACAGAAAGUGUGCUGCCGCUUGGCCUGUAUUGACUCAUUGAAACCGCACGAUAGCCUUCUGAUUCUCUGAGCUACUUGGCUUGUCCCCAUUACACAGACAAGGAAACUGAGGCCCAGAGAAGUCGUGAGUUGCUGGAGCCCACAUCUUACUAAGUGGCCAAGGGAGAUGCAGAACGGAAGGUGGGAGGGGUGGGGCUGGGGAGGGGCGGAGACAGUGAGCGAGGGGCGAAAAGGCAGGAGAAGGAUGCCCGCCAGGGGCAGCGUGGGAUCCCCUCCACAGCCCACAGCUGUAGGCCGCCCGCAUGGCAUCGCACCUCUCCCCAGAGGCCUGGGCAGGGAGAUGCCACGCCCUCUGGGAGCCGGGCCCGGGGCCCCUUGCAGACAGUUUUGGACCACACUCUGCCAUCAGCCCAGACUGUGACAUGUUCUCAGAGCCCUUGCACAAACCAUAAUUUGUAACGCUACACUUGUGUGGUUUUCUGAUUGUCUGGCACACCCCCUCCCCCAGAGCGGAAGGGCGGGGAGCAGGCCAUGUGGUCACCACUGUGUCAUCAGUGCUGGGUGUGUGCUGGCACGUGGCUGACACUCACGGAAAGUAGGAGUGAAAGCACAGAACAGAAGGUCCACCCUGGCCAGGGUGCAGGAUGGGGGCUCUGGGGGUGCGGUUUGCACUAUCACCUCUUGUCUCGGCCCCUCCUGUCUCAGGCUCUGGCUCUCUCCUUGAACACGUCUGUGUCCUUUAGCACACGGGAGCUGGAGGGAUGCUUGCUGGUUGUAGACGGCGCUCAGAGAACAAGCGUGAACGAGCUGAUGAUGGCUCUGAGGCCACAUCCUUAGCUGCUUUCCAGCUGUGAAAUAAUCAAAGUGCAGCCACCCCGUUUCCCUGGAAGGGCUGUCCCAGGAGCGUGAGUGGGAGGUGACAAAGCUGGCUGUGUCCUGGGGUGUCACUCAUCGCUCUUUCCCUUUUCCUCCCAGGGACUGGUAAUGGCCUCAUAAAACUGGAGCCUGCACGUUGGCCUCUGAUCUGGUUCCUAUUCAUUUGCAGGAAUGAUUUCACCUAAAAGAAUUCACUUUAUUCCUCGACUGUAGAGGUGUCGUCUGCUGGUUAAAGAUGCAGAAUAAUAGUUUCUGGCGAUAUGGCUGCUUUCUGCAAGUUCCAGUAUCUAAUUUGGAAGAACAGUAAUUGUCGAUUGUUAGCAUCCUGGUGGUUUUAUUUCUUUAUUUUCUUAUCUUGCAGCAUUAUUUGUGCUUCCUGCCUCUAAACUGUGAUGAGCGAGAAUCCUCUGAGAGGAGGGGUCUGUGUGCUCCUCCCUGCUUUUGCCGUUCUCCUUUUGUAACAGCUGCAAGAAUUAGCGUCGACAUAAAUUCAGCCAACAGGAAUGCGUACACGCUACUGCUUUGUGGAUCUGACAAAUGGUAGUAGUGGGCGGCAAACCUGUAGAAUAGAAAACCUAUGAAACAGGCCUCAAAGCACCACUCUUUCGUCAAGUUGUGAUGAAGGGUAUCUACAGACUCGGGGAAGAAAACUCAACCAACCAGGGAGUGUGGGUGAAUUUCGUAGGUCUGGCAAACAAGCUGUUUAUACCACACAUGAGACUGAAACUCUAAGUUGCAAAGCUAUCAAGGCUGGGCUUGGAGGAGGAUCUUGAGUUUUCUCCGUUUACAAAGCCUGUGAAUUUGGUACUGUAAUGUAUUUAUCCCAGUCUCAGAGAAACAGGAGACACAGAGCCUGAAUCUCAUGAAAUCCAGAGAGGGGAGGACUUGGGAAUCCUACUAGUGGCACUUGGGGCUUGUCCUGCAGGAGUGGGGCGGGGUUACAAGUUUCUGUCCGUCCGACUGAGAAGCUCUGGGCCAACCCCACCCAGCCCACAUGCAGGUCCCCGGGUGGCUGAGAAAGGUCAGCCUUGAACACUCUGCAGCACGCACAGGCGCCACCUGGGGCCAAUGUCCUUACUGGCCUCCCACGUUCACCUGUGCCCAUGCUGGGCUUUCCCGUUUUUCCCAAUCCUUCUGCAGAUGGGUCAACUGAUGUUAUUUUCUUGGCUCCACCCUUGGACUUUGGAGGGAUUUCCACACGUCCUAGCUUUCUCCUCCUCUUUCUUCCCCUAGGGGGGACACCUCAACCUAACUUUGACUCCCAAGGACCCACCAACCAGUUCCCUUAUGGGCCCCAAGCCAACCUGUAAACCAGGGGUGAAAUGAGCUACCAUUUUGGAGCAGUGAGAAGGAGUGCCCGGGAGGGGAGAGAAAGGAGGGUGGAAGGCAAGCGUCUGUAGGUUCGAAGGGGCCACUAUUCUCACCAGACACGGCUGACGUGAGCCCCUCUGAUCGGGCUCCAUUUCAGCACCCGUGCCGCUAACUGCUCAGAUCUGUUUGCAAAUCUGCGUGAUGAUUCGAGACUGGAUAUGAGUAAUGGGAAAGGCUUUCCAUCGUGUUCUCUAAAUAGUAACACUACAAAAGAGUGAGGGAUCAAAUUUAUAGAGACAGCAGGACAGGAAUUUUGAAUAAGUAUAAUUGAUGGCUUCAGAGAGAUGCACGAGGAUAUUGCCUUUGUAAAAAAAAAAGAUAUUAAAAACUUGAUUGCUAAAUUAGGAAAAACAAAAGCUCAGUGGAUGGGCUGAAAAAUGGAAUAUUCACGUUCUAGGAAACGUAAGUGAGGGAUUAUCAUAAAAGUACAAAGAAAUAGAAAGCGUGAAACAGAAGUCAAGCGACACGAAGGACAGAGUAAGAAAUCGUAAAAGCCAUCAAGUAGCAGUUCUGGAAAGAAAGAACAGACAGAUUGGAAGGGAAGAAAUUUUCCGAGAAGUGAUAGAGGAAAUUCCCCCCCAAACUGAAGAAAUGCAGGGAUGCUGAGACUGAUGGGCCCCUCAAGAGAUCAGCAUGACGGUAGAGCAGUAUCUUCAAAGUUCUGGGUGAAAAUCACUUGGAACCUAUAACUUUAUAUGAAGCCUAACUAUUCAGUAUUACAAGGCUAUCAUGCAUUGUGAAGGCAAAAUAAAGGUAUUUCCAGGCAUGAAAGAAGCCAACCAUUUAAGGCCCAUAGACACUCUCUAAAAACAAACAAAUGCUGGGUGGUGAGCUCUAGCAAGAAUAAAAACGAUAGGGUACAAUGGUGAUCAAAUAAAACAAUAAAAGCUAUUUUUUUUAAGAGUAAA